GACGAACGCUGGCGGCGUGCUUAACACAUGCAAGUCGAACGAUGAAGCUGGAGCUUGCUCCGGUGGAUUAGUGGCGAACGGGUGAGUAAUACGUGAGCAAUAUGCCCUUGACUAUGGGAUAACUGCGGGACACUGUAGCUAAUAACGGAUCCUUUCACUGGAAGGCAUCUUACGGUGAAGAAAGAAUUUCGGUCAAGGAUAAGUUCGCGGACUAUCGGCGUGUUGGUGAGGUAACGGCUCACCAAGGCGAAGACGGAUAGCCGGCCUGAGAGGGUGUCGGGCCACACUGGGACUGAGACACGGCCCAGACGCCUACGGGGGGCAGCAGUGGGGAAGAUUGUACAAUGGGCGCAAGCCUGAUGCAGCAACGCCGCGUGAGGGAUGAAGGGCUUCGGGUUGUAAACCUCUUUUAGCAGGGAAGAAGCGAAAGUGACGGUACCUGCAGAAAAAGCACCGGCUAACUACGUGCCAGCCGCCGCAGUAA
Molecule: ribosomal RNA, 484 nt
Filed under: uncultured bacterium
Lineage: Bacteria
Description: partial 16S ribosomal RNA
Rfam family: Bacterial small subunit ribosomal RNA
Source: RNAcentral